GACACGGCCCAAACUCCUACGGGAGGCAGCAGUAGGGAAUUUUCGUCAAUGGGGGGAACCCUGAACGAGCAAUGCCGCGUGAGUGAGGAAGGUCUUCGGAUCGUAAAGCUCUGUUGUAAGAGAAAAACGGCACUCAUAGGGAAUGAUGAGUGAGUGAUGGUAUCUUACCAGAAAGUCACGGCUAACUACGUGCCAGCAGCCGCGGUAAUACGUAGGUGGCGAGCGUUAUCCGGAAUGAUUGGGCGUAAAGGGUGCGUAGGUGGCAGAUCAAGUCUGGAGUAAAAGGUAUGGGCUCAACCCGUACUGGCUCUGGAAACUGAUCAGCUAGAGAACAGAAGAGGACGGCGGAACUCCAUGUGUAGCGGUAAAAUGCGUAGAUAUAUGGAAGAACACCGGUGGCGAAGGCGGCCGUCUGGUCUGGAUUCUGACACUGAAGCACGAAAGCGUGGGGAGCAAAUAGGAUUAGAUACCCUAGUAGUCCACGCCGUAAACGAUGAGAACUAGGUGUUGGGGGAAUAACUCAGUGCCGCAGUUAACGCAGUAAGUUCUCCGCCUGGGGAGUAUGCACGCAAGUGUGAAACUCAAAGGAAUUGACGGGGGCCCGCACAAGCGGUGGAGUAUGUGGUUUAAUUCGAAGCAACGCGAAGAACCUUACCAGGCCUUGACAUCCCUUGCAGAGGUAUAGAGAUAUAUCCGAGGUUAUCAAGGAGACAGGUGGUGCAUGGUUGUCGUCAGCUCGUGUCGUGAGAUGUUGGGUUAAGUCCCGCAACGAGCGCAACCCUUGUGAUAUGUUACUAACAUUGAGUUGAGGACUCAUAUCAGACUGCCGGUGAUAAACCGGAGGAAGGUGGGGAUGACGUCAAAUCAUCAUGCCCCUUAUGGCCUGGGCUACACACGUACUACAAUGGCGUCUACAAAGAGCGGCAAGCCUGUGAAGGCAAGCGAAUCUCAUAAAGGACGUCUCAGUUCGGAUUGAAGUCUGCAACCCGACUUCAUGAAGCUGGAAUCGCUAGUAAUCGCGAAUCAGCAUGUCGCGGUGAAUACGUUCUCGGGCCUUGUACACACCGCCCGUCAAACCAUGGGAGUUGGUAAUGCCCGAAGCCGGUGGCAUAACCCUUCGGGGAGUGAGCCGUCGAAGGCAGGACCGAUGACUGGGGUUAAGUCGUAACAAGGUAUCCCUACGGGAACGUGGGGAUG
Molecule: ribosomal RNA, 1197 nt
Filed under: human gut metagenome
Description: bacterial SSU rRNA
Rfam family: Bacterial small subunit ribosomal RNA
Source: RNAcentral